Molecule: ribosomal RNA, 292 nt
Filed under: uncultured bacterium
Lineage: Bacteria
Description: partial 16S ribosomal RNA
Source: RNAcentral
GGACUACCGGGGUAUCUAAUCCUGUUUGCUCCCCACGCUUUCGCACCUCAGCGUCAAUACAUGUCCAGCGGGCCGCCUUCGCCACUGGUGUUCUUCCGAAUAUCUACGAAUUUCACCUCUACACUCGGAAUUCCACCCGCCUCUCCAUGAUUCAAGCGAUGCAGUCUUAAAGGCAGUUCUGGUGUUGAGCACCAGGCUUUCACCUCUAACUUACAAAGCCGCCUACGUGCGCUUUACGCCCAGUAAUUCCGAACAACGCUAGCCCCCUCCGUAUUACCGCGGCUGCUGGCAC